RNAcentral lists this ribosomal RNA (427 nucleotides) under uncultured bacterium. RNAcentral describes it as "bacterial SSU rRNA". It matches the Rfam family "Bacterial small subunit ribosomal RNA", at positions 355 to 773 of the family's 1533-position model. The record is from RNAcentral.
UGGGGAAUUGUUCGCAAUGGGCGCAAGCCUGACGACGCAACGCCGCGUGGAGGAUGAAGAUCUUCGGGUCGUAAACUCCUUUCGAUCGGGACGAAUGGCCGGUGACCUAACACGUCAUCGGAGUGACGGUACCGAGAGAAGAAGCCCCGGCUAACUCCGUGCCAGCAGCCGCGGUAAUACGGGGGGGGCAAGCGUUGUUCGGAAUUACUGGGCGUAAAGGGCGCGUAGGCGGCCUACUAAGUCGGACGUGAAAUCCCUCGGCUCAACCGAGGAACUGCAUCCGAUACUGGCAGGCUGGAAUCCGGGAGAGGGAUGUGGAAUUCCAGGUGUAGCGGUGAAAUGCGUAGAUAUCUGGAGGAACACCGGUGGCGAAGGCGGCAUCCUGGACCGGUAUUGACGCUGAGGCGCGAAAGCUAGGGGAGCAAAC